Molecule: ribosomal RNA, 497 nt
Filed under: uncultured bacterium
Lineage: Bacteria
Description: partial 16S ribosomal RNA
Rfam family: Bacterial small subunit ribosomal RNA
Source: RNAcentral
GAUGAACGCUGGCGGCGUGCCUAAUACAUGCAAGUCGAGUGGACAGAUGAGGAGCUUGCUCCUCUGACGUUAGCGGCGGACGGGUGAGUAACACGUGGAUAACCUACCUAUAAGACUGGGAUAACUUCGGGAAACCGGAGCUAAUACCGGAUAAUAUAUUGAACCGCAUGGUUCAAUAGUGAAAGACGGUUUUGCUGUCACUUAUAGAUGGAUCCGCGCCGCAUUAGCUAGUUGGUAAGGUAACGGCUUACCAAGGCAACGAUGCGUAGCCGACCUGAGAGGGUGAUCGGCCACACUGGAACUGAGACACGGUCCAGACUCCUACGGGAGGCAGCAGUAGGGAAUCUUCCGCAAUGGGCGAAAGCCUGACGGAGCAACGCCGCGUGAGUGAUGAAGGUCUUCGGAUCGUAAAACUCUGUUAUUAGGGAAGAACAAAUGUGUAAGUAACUAUGCACGUCUUGACGGUACCUAAUCAGAAAGCCACGGCUAACUACGUG